GACGAGCGCUGGCGGCAUGCUUAACACAUGCAAGUCGAACGGAAAGGCCCUGCUUUUGUGGGGUGCUCGAGUGGCGAACGGGUGAGUAACACGUGAGUAACCUGCCCUUGACUUUGGGAUAACUUCAGGAAACUGGGGCUAAUACCGGAUAGGAGCUCCUGCUGCAUGGUGGGGGUUGGAAAGUUUCGGCGGUUGGGGAUGGACUCGCGGCUUAUCAGCUUGUUGGUGGGGUAGUGGCUUACCAAGGCUUUGACGGGUAGCCGGCCUGAGAGGGUGACCGGCCACAUUGGGACUGAGAUACGGCCCAGACUCCUACGGGAGGCAGCAGUGGGGAAUAUUGCACAAUGGGCGGAAGCCUGAUGCAGCAACGCCGCGUGCGGGAUGACGGCCUUCGGGUUGUAAACCGCUUUCGCCUGUGACGAAGCGUGAGUGACGGUAAUGGGUAAAGAAGCACCGGCUAACUACGUG
RNAcentral lists this ribosomal RNA (468 nucleotides) under uncultured bacterium. Its description in RNAcentral is "partial 16S ribosomal RNA". It matches the Rfam family "Bacterial small subunit ribosomal RNA", at positions 28 to 507 of the family's 1533-position model. The record is from RNAcentral.